AAGUCGUAACAAGGUUUCCGUAGGUGAACCUGCGGAAGGAUCAUUACUGAGUGGCUGUAUUCGUGAUUCUCUUCGGAGAGGCGAAGCUACCCGACCUGAUGUCAUUCUAUCCGAGGGCGCGUCCGCAUGAGACAGCGGAUCGACGUUGGAGUUACCCGGACGAGGCGCUUGUCUCGAAAGGGGAAGCUCCGGGUCGGGCCGUGGCGCGCCUCUCGGCACAACUUUCCGCGGAAGUGGUAGGCGUUGACCUGCCCGCCGCGGGCCGUAUUUUCUACAACUCUUGAAGAAAACCUGAAGUCUGAAUAUCCAAACAAAAUGAAAAGCAAAACUUUCAACAACGGAUCUCUUGGCUCUG
This is an unclassified non-coding RNA of 355 nucleotides. The stretch from base 1 to 46 matches the Rfam family "Eukaryotic small subunit ribosomal RNA", at positions 1786 to 1831 of the family's 1831-position model.